GGAGUUAGCCGGUGCUUCUUCUGUGAGUGAUGUCCUUCCUGCCGGCUAUUAACCCGCAGGCCUUCUUCCUCACUGAAAGUGCUUUACAACCCGAAGGCCUUCUUCACACACGCGGCAUGGCUGGAUCAGGGUUGCCCCCAUUGUCCAAUAUUCCCCACUGCUGCCUCCCGUAGGAGUCUGGGCCGUGUCUCAGUCCCAGUGUGGCUGAUCAUCCUCUCAGACCAGCUACGGAUCGUCGCCUUGGUGAGCCGUUACCUCACCAACCAGCUAAUCCGACAUAGGCUCAUCCGAUAGCGCGAGGCCCGAAGGUCCCCCGCUUUCCCCCGUAGGGCGUACUGCGGUAUUAGCCUGGGUUUCCCCAGGUUAUCCCCCACUACCGGGCAGAUUCCUAUGCAUUACUCACCCGUCCGCCGCUCGCCACCAGGGANCAAGCUCCCCGUGCUGCCGCUCGACUUGCAUGUGUUAGGCCUGCCGCCAGCGUUCAAUCUGAGCCAUAAUCAAACUCUGA
This 508-nucleotide ribosomal RNA is filed under the name uncultured bacterium. Its description in RNAcentral is "partial 16S ribosomal RNA". The record is from RNAcentral.